CGGGGCCUAGCUUAAAAGAUAAGGCAGCCUACCUACACUGGGUUAAUACUCGUUAAAAUCGAGUGGCCCCGA
Molecule: transfer RNA, 72 nt
Filed under: Coryphopterus urospilus (redlight goby)
Lineage: Eukaryota; Metazoa; Chordata; Actinopteri; Gobiiformes; Gobiidae
Description: tRNA-Val
Source: RNAcentral